This 535-nucleotide transfer RNA is filed under the name uncultured Prochlorococcus sp. RNAcentral describes it as "partial 16S-23S ribosomal RNA intergenic spacer". The stretch from base 207 to 279 matches the Rfam family "tRNA". The record is from RNAcentral. Lineage: Bacteria; Bacillati; Cyanobacteriota; Cyanophyceae; Synechococcales; Prochlorococcaceae.
CAGGGAGACAACAAAAUGUUUAAUAUUAUUUUGUCACCUUAGGUCGAUCGGUAUCUCACAUUCUUAAUUUAUUAAGAAUUUCAUUUCUUAAGUUUUUCUAGGUCACACCCAUUUUUUCCUGGGCCAUUAGCUCAGGUGGUUAGAGCGCACCCCUGAUAAGGGUGAGGUCCCUGGUUCAAGUCCAGGAUGGCCCAUAUCUCUAUGUUGGGGGUAUAGCUCAGUUGGUAGAGCGCCUGCUUUGCAAGCAGGAUGUCAGCGGUUCGAGUCCGCUUACCUCCACUGAUUACCACCUCUUCCAUAAUCUGUAGAAAAGGAAAAUUUUGAGUUGUGAUCAAAUUCUGAACGAAUCUAGCUUCCUAAUAAAAUCAUUAAGAUGCUGGACUCAUUGAAUUAAUUUCAUUGUUUUCAGAGAACCUUGACAACUGCAUAGAUUAUUUUUAAAGACAAUAAGCAUCUUUAAUGAUGCAGAUUUAUUAUUUGUGCGAAUGCAUUAAUAACAAUUCUAUUAAGCUGAUGCUUCAAUUUUGAAGUUAUU